UUGGAAUCAAGCCCGCAAUCAAUGUGCGAAGGAAGAUCUAUACUAUCCACAUCCACUGGUUCAGGAUAUUCUAUGGGCAUCUCUUCAUAAGGUGCUUGAGCCUAUUCUGGGGCAUUGGCUCGGAAACAAGUUGAGAGAGAAGGCUUUAUGCACUGUAAUGCAGCAUGUACACUAUGAAGAUGAGAAUACACGGUAUAUAUGCAUAGGGCCUGUGAACAAGGUGUUAAAUAUGCUUUGCUGCUGGAUUGAAGAUCCAAACUCAGAGGCCUUUAAGUUGCAUAUUCCAAGAAUUUUUGAUUAUUUGUGGAUUGCUGAAGACGGCAUGAAAAUGCAGGGUUAUAAUGGAAGUCAAUUAUGGGAUA
Long non-coding RNA from Vitis riparia (riverbank grape), 362 nucleotides. RefSeq lists it as uncharacterized. Lineage: Eukaryota; Viridiplantae; Streptophyta; Magnoliopsida; Vitales; Vitaceae. The record is from RefSeq and is a predicted model, not a curated record. The transcript has 4 exons.